GAGUUUGAUCCUGGCUCAGAACGAACGCUGGCGGCGUGCCUAACACAUGCAAGUCGAACGGAUUUGAGAAGCUUGCUUCUCAAGUUAGUGGCGCACGGGUGAGUAACGCGUAGAUAAUYUGCCUGAUGAUCUGGGAUAACACUUCGAAAGGGGUGCUAAUACCGGAUAAGCCCACGGAGUCUUUGGACUUUGCGGGAAAAGGGGGGGGCCUUCGGGCCUUCUGUCAUCAGAUGAGUCUGCGUACCAUUAGCUAGUUGGUAGGGUAAAGGCCUACCAAGGCUACGAUGGUUAGCUGGUCUGAGAGGAUGAUCAGCCACACUGGAACUGAGACACGGUCCAGACUCCUACGGGAGGCAGCAGUGGGGAAUUUUGCGCAAUGGGGGAAACCCUGACGCAGCAACGCCGCGUGGGUGAUGAAGGCUUUCGGGUCGUAAAGCUCUGUCAGAGGGGAAGAAAUGAGUCUGGCUAAUAUCCAGAUUUCUUGACGGUACCCUCAAAGGAAGCACCGGCUAACCCCGUGCCAGCAGCCGCGGUAAUAC
Molecule: ribosomal RNA, 539 nt
Filed under: uncultured Geobacteraceae bacterium
Lineage: Bacteria; Pseudomonadati; Thermodesulfobacteriota; Desulfuromonadia; Geobacterales; Geobacteraceae
Description: bacterial SSU rRNA
Rfam family: Bacterial small subunit ribosomal RNA
Source: RNAcentral